Triticum urartu is the source of this 2872-nucleotide non-coding RNA. The record is from RefSeq and is a predicted model, not a curated record. Lineage: Eukaryota; Viridiplantae; Streptophyta; Magnoliopsida; Poales; Poaceae.
GGUCAUAUUGCGAUUGCUGACCCGCAGCCUCUUUCUUUCCCUCUUACAGAUGCAUUCAGGUGUAGAUUCUCAAUCUUGCAAAUUAAAGAUUUUGGUUGACACGUACAUAUUGGAAUUUCCUUGCUAUGCCGUGAACCUAUGUAGCUUUACUAGCUUUCUGGGUACUACCUGUAGUUGGCGGCAUUUUUCCUAAAUUGUAUUUAGUAAAGAUUACUUUAUCCAUACAUUGUUGGCAUAAAAUUGAUGCACAGUCUUGUGUUAGACUUUCUGCAAUAGAAAACACUGCCCCAGAUAAAAAAUUCUUGUGGAGUUAGAGCAAACCCAUACAUCAGAGUCUUAGGUAUUUUAUUUUCUGGCCAAGUUAUGCUUAAUCUGAGCUAUUUCUUACUCAGUUUGAUCUAGGUUUCUAUCAACUAUUAUCUUUCUUUUGAAUUUCUCUUUGCGCGGAUUUGCUUUCUGAGUUAAGUUGAGGUGAAUGCAGCUGCUGUUCAUACUUUAAACACAUCUCAAUUGCAGGAGUGCGACACCACCAUCCUGUGCCACAAACCAUACCAAGAAUGAUGAGUUAUGGCUAGAGUUCAUUUGAUCCAUCUGAUAAAAAUACCUAUUUUAAGGAAUAAGCGUGAAAAGUAAUCAACCGCUCUUUCCGCAGUGGAAUUCGGCUUCAUGGGAAUAUGGUACCCUACGACGCAGGAAGACUACUGAAGAUCAUUUCUAAAUCUAAUCAAGUCAAAGCUUCUCUGUUGUCUGUACUGCAGCCAUGAUGAUCUGAAGUUUAGGACCACAUUGUAGUCAAGAAAAAGGAAUGAUCUUGAUAAUGGCAGGUGUAGCAAUGAAAGGCACAUAUAUUCUACCACAAGCAUCCUAGCUUUCUCAUCUUAUUAGUGACUCACUUUCGAAACAUAUGUAUUGGUAGUUUUUAUCUCUAUGCUUUGCCUUCCACAUACUGGAUUGCAAUGUGUUUGUCUUGAUCCAAUCCUUCGUGUGCCCAUGGGAUGUCCGGCAGGGACUGAUUUGGCUGUUCAAGAGGCCGAACACAUAUAAAUACACAUCCACUCCCUCGACCGAAGCCCCAACCCAAUUGCGUCGUUUCAUCCGUGCUCGACAUUGGUGUCUUGCCGUUCUGCCAAAGUCAUGGAAAUCUCACUGUUCUGCCAACCUGGCCGGAAUUUCUCCGUACUGCCGACUUCAUCGGAAUUACAUCUACCCGUGUAGCCAAGGUACAUCAUUCAAACUACUCGAGUAAUACUAAUUCGGACUUGUUUUGAUCAAGCGGUUGAACUGAACCAUGCUACUGCACAAUAGCCAAAAGGAGAGUCAGUUUGUUUCUCUGACCCCUGUGAUUUGAAGCAGCUAAUCUGAACUAUGCUAUUACACAAUAGCCCAAAGUUUGUCUGAUAGAUAUGAGUAUCAUCAUAUAAUUUUGUUUCUAGAACGUGUAAUAGGUAACCAACAAUGUUGUUUUCAGUUUACAAGAAUGCUAAUGUUGUUUGAAUGCAUAUAUAAUUACUGGAAUUAGUUUGAAUGCAUAUACAGUACCUUGAUGUUGAAUUUACAAGGUCCUGAUGUUGGAUUUAUUGUCUUAUAGAUUUUGUAAUUUACAGUUACUCCACAAAGUUGGUGACUGUUGUUUGUACAGUGAGCUGAUAUAGAAUGCUUCAUCACACAAACUAAUCUGACUGCAUAUUUACAAUAUGGUGAUGGUGGAUUGACACUGUCCUAUAGAUGUUGAAUUUACAGUAUGGUGAUGGUGGAUUUACACUGCCCUAUAGAUUUUGUAAUUUAUUCUAGAAGCUGUGUAGCUCCAUAUAGUGUGUCAUUGUUGUUCGUACAGUGAGUUCAUAUAGAAUACUUGAUCACAUGGAUUUGUCUCAAUGUAUAUUAUUAGUUUCCUGGUGUUUAAUUUAUAAUACAUUGAUGAUGGAUUUAUGGUCCUAUGGCUUCUGUAAAUUUUAGUACUCCCUUCGUCCGAAAAUACUUGUCGAAGAAAUGGAUAAAAAUGGAUGCAUCUAAAAACUAAAAUACGUCUAGAUACAUCCAUUCCUCCGACAAGUAUUUUCGGACGGAGGGAGUAGUUCUUUUGAGACUGUUUUAUUUUACAGUGAGAUGAUAGUGAAUUUUCCAGUGGCCACCGCUUUCUGAGAUCGCCAUCACUACCUAGCACUCUGAUUUUGCUAUAACUGUUGUCCUCCUAAUAGGUACUAUACUUUCUCUUUCUACUUCUUUUGUUUUGCCAUUUUUGUUACAGUUCAUUAUGAUUCUUUUAUAUUCAUUGUACCUCUUCUUGUUUGCCGUUCUCGAUGCUGCAACAUUGGUAACUGAGAAUCCGGCGACAAUCAAAUAGAAGUCGAAGAAUUCUUGUCCUUCUCUUGUGUUGAACUCCAUUUCCAGGCUGCCGUAACUGAUGGUUAUCCGUGCUUUUCUCAGCUUCAUUAUUACUCUCCUUAUGUUCCACACAUGUGGCACAUUGCCUGAAGUGUAUGAAUUUCCCCAUAACAUGAUGGAUCCUUCAUCUUCAGCUAACUUGCAGCAAUGCAGCAAGUGUAUGCUUUUUAUUUAUUUAUUUUCUUCAGGAAUUUUUUUUGCUGAUGCAAUCUGAAUAUGUGUUUACAUAUCAGUUUCUCUACUUGAUGUUUCUUAAUUACCUUGUCCAAGCUUAGAUUGUCAAGAAGUCAUACUUUCCAGGGAUUUGAAGAAGCUGGAUCAAUACAACUUUAUGUAGAGAAACUUUAUGUAGCUUGCUGCCUUGCUGUACAUUGUCUGAAGCUUUAUGUAGCUUGCUGUCUUGUUGUACAUUGCUGUAACUUACAGUUACAGGGUUGUACAAUCCUGUAUCAUCAAACUGGUUUUCUGUAGCAUAUCUUGUUUGUCC